RNAcentral lists this ribosomal RNA (448 nucleotides) under uncultured bacterium. RNAcentral's name for it is "SSU rRNA". It matches the Rfam family "Bacterial small subunit ribosomal RNA", at positions 26 to 518 of the family's 1533-position model. The record is from RNAcentral.
AGGAUGAACGCUGGCGGUGUGCCUAAUACAUGCAAGUCGAACGGGAUCUUCGGAUCUAGUGGCGAACGGGUGAGUAACACGUUGGUACCUACCCCGAAGUGGGGAAUAACUGCCCGAAAGGGUGGCUAAUACCGCAUAAUACCGCAAGGUUAAAGCAGUAAUGCGCUUCGGGAGGGGCCUGCGUCCCAUUAGCUAGUUGGUAGGGUAAUGGCCUACCAAGGCGACGAUGGGUAGCUGGAUCGAGAGGUUGACCAGCCACACUGGGACUGAGAUACGGCCCAGACUCCUACGGGAGGCAGCAGUAAGGAAUCUUCCACAAUGGACGAAAGUCUGAUGGAGCAACACCGCGUGCAGGAUGACGGCCUUGGGUUGUAAACUGUCUUUUAUAUGGGAAGAUUAUGACGGUACCAUAUGAAUAAGGACCGGCUAACUACGUGCCAGCAGCCGC